RNAcentral lists this long non-coding RNA (714 nucleotides) under Brachypodium distachyon (stiff brome). RNAcentral describes it as "long non-coding RNA (BDIS_LNC002692)". The record is from RNAcentral. Lineage: Eukaryota; Viridiplantae; Streptophyta; Magnoliopsida; Poales; Poaceae.
UGAUAGUGCCGCGGACGCUCUGUUAUUCCUGCUCUGCGUCUGUGGUCGCCAAUGCUUCCUUUGUGGACUUCUCUGCGCGAUUUCCGAGUAUCUUGCAAGAAUUUGAAGAUGGCCAGGUAGAACUAGAAUUCUGGACCUGUGCGAUUCCAGCGACGAACACCACUAACCUGAGCUAUGAAGCAGAGCAUGGGGAUCUCAGAUCCAAUGAACCUCCGCUCUCUACGAUUGCUCUUCCAGCAACUGUACCAUGUCAUUGUCGUAAGACUUAAUUUAGCCGGCUUGCUUUGUCAGCUCUCAUACUUACUCAUGUGUCUGACUCCAGUCCUUAGGUGUAUUGAAACUGAAAUUUCCCGCGUCAUCAGACGAUCCAUGGCUGCAACAUCACACUUCUGAAUUGACCAUUAACCGCCCCAUGUUAAUCCCACCUGCUUGUUUACAUUAUCAGUUGGGGAGUAGUAGGCUGUCUAUUUUCGAUCGAUUGGUUUCUGCAAGUUGAUCCCGAAAGGGACUGCCGACCUGAAAGUAUUCCAUGGCUCUAUCUGAAAAAAGAAAUUCGAUACGUAUCAUUAUUUAAAAACAAAUGAAAACUCAAUAUAAUAGUACGGAGUAUAUUUUAUUUUUUAUUUCAACAGGGAAUUAAUCGCUCACUGUUUAAUCUCGCCGUGCUUUUUGCAGUGGACAUCGUGUCGGCGCAACAGAGGUUCGGCAUCAACU